UACGUAGGGUGCGAGCGUUAAUCGGAGUUACUGGGCGUAAAGGGUGCGCAGGCGGAUACGUAAGUUAGGAGUGAAAUGCCCGGGCUUAACCUGGGAACAGCUUUUAAGACUGCGAAUCUAGAGUUUGUCAGAGGGGGGUGGAAUUCCAAGUGUAGCAGUGAAAUGCGUAGAGAUUUGGAGGAACACCAAUGGCGAAGGCAACCCCCUGGGAUAAAACUGACGCUCAGGCACGAAAGCGUGGGUAGCAAACAGG
RNAcentral lists this ribosomal RNA (253 nucleotides) under uncultured bacterium. RNAcentral describes it as "partial 16S ribosomal RNA". It matches the Rfam family "Bacterial small subunit ribosomal RNA", at positions 524 to 776 of the family's 1533-position model. The record is from RNAcentral.